GACGAACGCUGGCGGCGUGCUUAACACAUGCAAGUCGAACGGAAAGGCCCUGCUUUUGUGGGGUGCUCGAGUGGCGAACGGGUGAGUAACACGUGAGUAACCUGCCCUUGACUUUGGGAUAACUUCAGGAAACUGGGGCUAAUACCGGAUAUGAGCUCCUGCUGCAUGGUGGGGGUUGGAAAGUUUCGGCGGUUGGGGAUGGACUCGCGGCUUAUCAGCUUGUUGGUGGGGUAGUGGCUUACCAAGGCUUUGACGGGUAGCCGGCCUGAGAGGGUGACCGGCCACAUUGGGACUGAGAUACGGCCCAGACUCCUACGGGAGGCAGCAGUGGGGAAUAUUGCACAAUGGGCGGAAGCCUGAUGCAGCAACGCCGCGUGAGGGAUGACGGCCUUCGGGUUGUAAACCGCUUUCGCCUGUGACGAAGCGUGAGUGACGGUAAUGGGUAAAGAAGCACCGGCUAACUACGUG
Molecule: ribosomal RNA, 468 nt
Filed under: uncultured bacterium
Lineage: Bacteria
Description: partial 16S ribosomal RNA
Rfam family: Bacterial small subunit ribosomal RNA
Source: RNAcentral